This is a non-coding RNA of Myodes glareolus (Bank vole), 1082 nucleotides long. The record is from RefSeq and is a predicted model, not a curated record. NCBI's taxonomy places the organism in Eukaryota, Metazoa, Chordata, Mammalia, Rodentia, Cricetidae.
AUCAUUGGCUUAGCUUGCAUCUCUGUUGUCAGAUUUCAUUUUAAUUAUUAUUAAUUAUUUCCCCUUGGGUGUGAAUUACUGGCUUGUGUACUUUCCUUCCUCUUUCUAUUCUGUUAUCUUGCUCCAUAUGUUUCCUGCUUGUAGGACUUAUAGUACUGAAAGGAACAAUAAGGGAACAGAGUCAAGUCAUUGUGAGACAAGUCAAUACAUCAGUCCUCCUGUCGAGGAGGUGUGCCACCUCCCUGGAGCAGCUUUUCACAGGUUCUCAAACUUCAAAUGUCAGAAGAGGAGCUGAGAAAAAUGUUUGUAAAUCAUGGAAAAAGAACAAAAUGGAACUCACUCUGAUACUCAGGGAAAGCUAUCUCUCCUCUUGGCUGAUGGCCAGCAGUCAACUUGGAAGCGCCCUUCAAAGGUUAUAAUCUGCGUAGUCCAUGGAUUCAAUCGCUACUUAAAACAAUGCAUAGACAUUUGAAUUCAUGCUUCUUGGUUUCCUUCCAAUUGCUGGGUGCCAGGCCCCAUGGAGCCCUUGCGACUACACUCUUCAUGGCUUCUUUGAGGUAUCCAGUCCAAGAUCCCUUCCCUGCACUCAGACUGCUGUGUGCCAUGACAGCCACAAAAGGCUUGUGGCUCCUGAUUGCCGCUUAAAAGUUCUCCAGUGACACACUUCUGCGCAUCAAAGGAAUUAAACUACUCUGCAAAGGCUUGGAUUAUUACUUAGAUACAGGACUAGCAGAUACUGUAAGAACGUGAUAUAUAACCUAAGAUGCAGUCUAUAAAGACAGAGCCUAGACUUCGUUUCAGUAUGCACAAACCAAACUCGUUUUCUCAAGUAGAUGUAGAGAAAGUGGCCUGGGAUCAGAAGCAGGGCUUUGAAAACCAAAUUUCUACCAAGGCUACUCAGCACGAACACACAAGUGCUCAUUUCCAUCAUAGCUUUCAUUUUGCACCUUUAAUGCCAAAAUAAAGUGACAAAUUUGGGUUUAUAGCUCACCAUAUGCUUGCAACUUCUUGGCCAUUUGGGAAGCAUAUUGAAGCUAUAGAGUGUAAAAUUAAGCUGUAAGAAUAUUGUAAGCUGAGUUAAA